This is an RNA transcript of Humulus lupulus (European hop), 1004 nucleotides long. RefSeq lists it as uncharacterized. The record is from RefSeq and is a predicted model, not a curated record. Lineage: Eukaryota; Viridiplantae; Streptophyta; Magnoliopsida; Rosales; Cannabaceae. The transcript has 3 exons.
UUCAUCACACGAUCUAGGGCUGCUGGGUGGUGAACGGCGGCUGCUGGGCGAACAGCUGCUCGGCGGCGGCUGGGUGAACGGCGAUGGUGAUGGUGGUGAACGCCUCCAGCAAGCGUGGGUUCUCGGCUCCAGCACUCUCGGCGUCGUUGACAGGAACGGUGAUAGGAAAAUCUUCUCCGGCGUUGGUUCUCGGCUCCAGCACUCUCGGCGUCGUUGACAGGAACGGUGAUAGGAAAAUCUUCUCUGGCGUUGGUUCUCGGCUCCAGCACUCUCGGCGGCGGUGCGGGUUCUCGGCUCCAUCACUCUCGGCGGCGGCGUGCUUCUCAGCGUGGGUCUCUGCUGGUUGCUGGUUCACGAUUCCAGCAGCCGUUGCAGCCCCAAAUUAGUAGAAAUUAAAUGAUGGCUUCUACUAAAGAUCAAGUUCUACAAGCUAGCAAAUAUUGUCGGAAAUUGCACUAAAUGAUCAGGUUCGUCGCUUGAAAGAAUUUGGGGUUACCAAGGGAGAAUUGACUCGCUAUUUGGAUGUACUUUUGAAAGAUAGUGAACAUCUGGCAGCUAUGAUUGAUAAUGUGUCAUCCGUAGAUAAUUUGGAUUUCAUUAUGGAGAGUGACGCAUUGGGCCAUACAGUAAUAGACCAGAGGCAAGGACAUGAGAGUUUGGUCACUGUUGCUGGAACAAUUAAACUUGAGGAGGUAACAACUUUACUAUACAAGACUAGUUCUGUCUUUAGAAUCUGUACUGUGUUGAGCUUGAUGAUCUUCUGUAAGAACUUAGCUCUUCAUUCAAAUAAUAAUAUUAAAUUAAAUGGUAGUCUUGUUGAGGUAGUGUGGUUAUAUAGCUUUAUGGUGAAGUUUUAUUCAUCUUUGGGUGUGUUGUGCUUUUGUGCAAAAAAUUAAGCAGUUAUCUUAGUUUUGGUCAUUUGGUUAAUUGGUGAACUAAAGUGUUUUUUUUUACUGUCUGUGCAGCCUCCUAGUAUAUAUUUAUUGAUCUUUUAUUCUCAGUUA